Molecule: ribosomal RNA, 301 nt
Filed under: uncultured bacterium
Lineage: Bacteria
Description: partial 16S ribosomal RNA
Rfam family: Bacterial small subunit ribosomal RNA
Source: RNAcentral
CAGCCGCCGCGGGAAUACGGAGGAUCCAAGCGUUAUCCGGAAUCAUUGGGUUUAAAGGGUCCGUAGGCGGUCUUGUAAGUCAGUGGUGAAAGCCCAUCGCUCAACGGUGGAACGGCCAUUGAUACUGCAGGACUUGAAUUAUUGGGAAGUAACUAGAAUAUGUAGUGUAGCGGUGAAAUGCUUAGAGAUUACAUGGAAUACCAAUUGCGAAGGCAGGUUACUACCAAUUGAUUGACGCUGAUGGACGAAAGCGUGGGUAGCGAACAGGAUUAGAUACCCCAGUAGUCCCUGUCUCUUAUAC